Molecule: long non-coding RNA, 336 nt
Filed under: Ananas comosus (pineapple)
Lineage: Eukaryota; Viridiplantae; Streptophyta; Magnoliopsida; Poales; Bromeliaceae
Description: long non-coding RNA (ACOM_LNC023647)
Source: RNAcentral
CCCUCAGAAAAUUUUAUUCACAAUUAGCCCCAUAAAAUUUAUAUUUAUAAGAUUAGCCUUAUUUUCAUCACUCGAGCACAACGUAAGCAUGACUGGUUAAUUUGAAUACGGUGAAUCAUUCACAGUUUAUCAUAAAAUUUUCAUAUUUUACCUAAAUCAUGUCUUUUUCAUAUUUAUCGUGUUCCAACACAGUAAAUAAUUCGACGUAUUCAAUUUAAACUCUUGGCCAUCAGUCGUACUCACGUGUCACUUGCGUGACGAGAUAAAAUCAAUCUUAUAAAUAAAUAUAAAUUUUAUGGGUCUGUUUAUGAAAAAAUAAUUUGAGGGGGACUAAAG